AGUCAACUUCGUCCCCAACCCUUCUCCUCUUCACGCACACCCGCUUCCUCUCAACCCCUCGUCAAUCCCCCCACUAAAUCAACCUCAUCGGCAGCGAGCGGACCGCCGUGAAGCCGUGGGGCGUUCCUCCUAGUGGGAGGGAUCCGUGGAGCAGCCUCGCCGUCACGGACGCGGGGAUCGACGCGUUCGAUGGGGCCAUGUAAUUUGACGCAUUCGAGUUGGGCUGGGCGAGCUUGGAGGCGUCGGCGAGGGGGCAUCGGCGGCGUGGUGUUGCGUCCAGACCGUGGCGUACUUAUGUCGCUUUUUUGGAGAUGGUUUACUCGCAGCAGUUCGUAGCUCUCCAUCGUUGUCAUUCUCCAUGGAUGAGCUAGUGGUGGUCAACACCAUAGGAUGUAUAUUUAUCAGCGCAGCAUUGCAGGGUAACCUUCUCGAGGAUCGUCAAGAGGAAAUCGACGGAGGACUUCUCUGCCGUGCCAUACAACAUGACUCUUCUCAACUGCCUCCUAUCGGCGUGGUAACUAGCCAGCUCCCAAUACUUGAGCUUCACAGUCUUGCACUCUACUAGCACUAGAACUACUUGCAGCAAGACAGGCUUUGUGUGAUUGGUUCUUCGUCCAUGCCAUUCGUGUUUUUUUUUAACUACCACAUUGAAUCUUGUUUCAUACUACUUUGCUAAGGGACAGUUGGGUCAUAGUCUCAUAGAUGUGUAAAUCCCCUGAAAUUUAACUUGGCUGUACUAGUUCCAUGUAUUUUUCAUGAUAAGUUAGUACUAAUUUGAACACAAUCAUAUGCAUGUGUUUAAACGAUAGAUGUAUGUUUAUAUUUUCAUCAUGUAAUUUUCAGUGUAUGGACUGUUUUUGGUCUGUAACUUGCUAACUUCUUUGUGCAUUGACUGUAUGUAGCCUGUAACUUUCUUCUUAUGUACAAUUUGUAUGGUUUUAAACAUAGCCUGUAACUUCAGUGUAUGGACUGUUUUUGGUCUGUAACUUCUUUAUGUAUUGACUGUAUGUAGCCUGUAAUUUUCUCUUGUGUACGGUUUAUAUUGUUUUAAACAUAGCCUGUAACUUCUUUGUGUAUUGAAUGAUUAUAUAUAUGUAUAGUUUGUAACUUCUUGUGUGUGAGCACUUUUUCGUUUCUAGCCUGUAGUUUAUUAAUUGCAUUUUGGACUGUAAGUUUCUUAUAUGUAGCACGUAACUUCUUAU
Long non-coding RNA from Lolium perenne, 1202 nucleotides. RefSeq lists it as uncharacterized. Lineage: Eukaryota; Viridiplantae; Streptophyta; Magnoliopsida; Poales; Poaceae. The record is from RefSeq and is a predicted model, not a curated record.